UACGUAGGUGGCGAGCGUUGUCCGGAAUUACUGGGUGUAAAGGGCGUGUAGGCGGGAAUGCAAGUCAGAUGUGAAAUACCGUGGCUUAACCACGGGGCUGCAUCUGAAACUGUGUUUCUUGAGUGUCGGAGAGGAAAGUGGAAUUCCCAGUGUAGCGGUGAAAUGCGUAGAUAUUGGGAGGAACACCAGUGGCGAAGGCGACUUUCUGGACGAUAACUGACGCUGAGGCGCGAAAGCGUGGGGAGCAAACAGGAUUAGAUACCCUGGUAGUCCACGCUGUAAACGAUGGAUACUAGGUGUGGGAGGUAUCGACCCCUUCCGUGCCGCAGUUAACACAAUAAGUAUCCCACCUGGGGAGUACGGCCGCAAGGUUGAA
Molecule: ribosomal RNA, 376 nt
Filed under: uncultured bacterium
Lineage: Bacteria
Description: bacterial SSU rRNA
Rfam family: Bacterial small subunit ribosomal RNA
Source: RNAcentral